RNAcentral lists this ribosomal RNA (336 nucleotides) under uncultured Synechococcus sp. Its description in RNAcentral is "bacterial SSU rRNA". It matches the Rfam family "Bacterial small subunit ribosomal RNA", at positions 427 to 778 of the family's 1533-position model. The record is from RNAcentral. Lineage: Bacteria; Bacillati; Cyanobacteriota; Cyanophyceae; Synechococcales; Synechococcaceae.
AAACCUCUUUUAUCAAGGAAGAAGAUCUGACGGUACUUGAUGAAUAAGCCACGGCUAAUUCCGUGCCAGCAGCCGCGGUAAUACGGGAGUGGCAAGCGUUAUCCGGAAUUAUUGGGCGUAAAGCGUCCGCAGGCGGCCUUGUAAGUCUGUUGUCAAAGCGUGGAGCUUAACUCCAUUUCGGCAAUGGAAACUGUGAGGCUUGAGUGUGGUAGGGGCAGAGGGAAUUCCCGGUGUAGCGGUGAAAUGCGUAGAUAUCGGGAAGAACACCAGUGGCGAAGGCGCUCUGCUGGGCCAUAACUGACGCUCAUGGACGAAAGCCAGGGGAGCGAAAGGGAU